GACGAACGCUGGCGGCGUGCUUAACACAUGCAAGUCGAGGGCGCUCCGGGGGCAACCCCGGGGCGACCGGCGAACGGGUGCGUAACACGUGAGCGACCUGCCCUGGAGUGGGGGAUAGCCGGCCCAACGGCCGGGUAAUACCGCAUGCGCUCGUGGCCCCGCAUGGGGCGAUGAGGAAAGCCGUGCGUGCACGGCGCUCGAGGAGGGGCUCGCGGCCUAUCAGCUAGUUGGCGGGGNGACGGCCCACCAAGGCGACGACGGGUAGCCGGCCUGAGAGGGCGACCGGCCACACUGGGACUGAGACACGGCCCAGACUCCUACGGGAGGCAGCAGUGGGGAAUAUUGCACAAUGGGCGGAAGCCUGAUGCAGCGACGCCGCGUGAGGGAUGACGGCCU
Molecule: ribosomal RNA, 396 nt
Filed under: uncultured bacterium
Lineage: Bacteria
Description: bacterial SSU rRNA
Rfam family: Bacterial small subunit ribosomal RNA
Source: RNAcentral